CAUCUUCAGGGCAGGGUGAAAUUCCCGACCGGCGGUAAAGUCCGCGAACCGAAAGGUUGAAUUGGUGAAAUUCCAAUACCGACAGUAAAGUCUGGAUGGUAGAAGAG
Molecule: non-coding RNA, 107 nt
Filed under: uncultured Sedimentibacter sp.
Lineage: Bacteria; Bacillati; Bacillota; Tissierellia
Description: FMN riboswitch (RFN element)
Rfam family: FMN riboswitch aptamer (RFN element)
About the family: The RFN element is a highly conserved domain that is found frequently in the 5'-untranslated regions of prokaryotic mRNAs that encode for flavin mononucleotide (FMN) biosynthesis and transport proteins. This element is a metabolite-dependent riboswitch that directly binds FMN in the absence of proteins.
Source: RNAcentral